This 490-nucleotide ribosomal RNA is filed under the name uncultured bacterium. RNAcentral describes it as "partial 16S ribosomal RNA". It matches the Rfam family "Bacterial small subunit ribosomal RNA", at positions 30 to 507 of the family's 1533-position model. The record is from RNAcentral.
AUUGAACGCUGGCGGCAUGCCUUACAUAUGCAAGUCGAACGGCAGCAUGAUCUAGCUUGCUAGAUUGAUGGCGAGUGGCGGACGGGUGAGUAAUACAUCGGAACGUGCCCUGUAGUGGGGGAUAACUAGUCGAAAGAUUAGCUAAUACCGCAUACGACCUGAGGGUGGAAGUGGGGGACCGCAAGGCCUCAUGCUAUAGGAGCGGCCGAUGUCUGAUUAGCUAGUUGGUGAGGUAAAGUCUCACCAAGGCGACGAUCAGUAGCUGGUCUGAGAGGACGAUCAGCCACACUGGGACUGAGACACGCCCCAGACUCCUACGGGAGGCAGCAGUGGGGAAUUUUGGACAAUAGGCGAAAGCCUGAUCCAGCAAUGCCGCGUGUGUGAAGAAGGCCUUCGGGUUGUAAAGCACUUUUGUCCGGAAAGAAAUGGCUCUGGUUAAUACCUGGGGUCGAUGACGGUACCGGAAGAAUAAGGACCGGCUAACUACGUG